Molecule: long non-coding RNA, 436 nt
Organism: Astatotilapia calliptera (eastern happy)
Lineage: Eukaryota; Metazoa; Chordata; Actinopteri; Cichliformes; Cichlidae
Source: Ensembl
GUAGUGUUCGAAGGAUUUUCUCAUCACCAUGAAGCGGAGAAGCAAUACCAACGUCACCAGGAGGAGUUCAACAAUUAAAAGGCGCAGUGAGAAUUUGCGUUUUGAUGAAUUCGGCUUUGCUCUCACUAAAAAAAAGGACCAGAAACUUCAUCACCGGUGUCACGAUUACAGCUACCCCCAGCUGAGCUCAGUGAGGGUGAAAGAGCUGUGUGAGCUGCUCAGCUACUGGAAUGGAGCCAGCUUUAUCUGCAAGAGCCAAAUUGAGCGAUUUAUCAAAAUGGGUAUCCCUCCAAGCCUGCGCGGCAGAGUAUGGAAGUGCCUGCUUACCACUGAUAUUUUGAGAGAUGCCAGUGACUUCAACUACCAGACAUGUUUGUCUGAGGUGCGAGGACCUUUGGUCGACCUGGGAGUCAGUGAAUACGGCAUCUUGUCUGCA